CCUACGGGAGGCAGCAGUGAGGAAUAUUGGUCAAUGGACGAGAGUCUGAACCAGCCAAGUAGCGUGAAGGAUGACUGCCCUAUGGGUUGUAAACUUCUUUUAUAAAGGAAUAAAACGAGGCACGCGUGCCUUUUUGCAUGUACUUUAUGAAUAAGGAUCGGCUAACUCCGUGCCAGCAGCCGCGGUAAUACGGAGGAUCCGAGCGUUAUCCGGAUUUAUUGGGUUUAAAGGGAGCGUAGAUGGGUUGUUAAGUCAGUUGUGAAAGUUUGCGGCUCAACCGUAAAAUUGCAAUUGAUACUGGCAGUCUUGAGUACAGUUGAGGUAGGCGGAAUUCGUGGUGUAGCGGUGAAAUGCUUAGAUAUCACGAAGAACCCCGAUUGCGAAGGCAGCUUACCAAGCUGUGACUGACAUUGAUGCUCGAAAGUGUGGGUAUCAAACAGGAUUAGAUACCCCGGUAGUC
RNAcentral lists this ribosomal RNA (460 nucleotides) under uncultured bacterium. RNAcentral's name for it is "partial 16S ribosomal RNA". It matches the Rfam family "Bacterial small subunit ribosomal RNA", at positions 338 to 795 of the family's 1533-position model. The record is from RNAcentral.